AGAGUUUGAUCCUGGCUCAGAUUGAACGCUGGCGGCAUGCUUUACACAUGCAAGUCGAACGGCAGCAUAGGUGCUUGCACCUGAUGGCGAGUGGCGAACGGGUGAGUAAUAUAUCGGAACGUGUCCGGAAGUGGGGGAUAACGCAGCGAAAGUUGCACUAAUACCGCAUAUGCCCUGAGGGGGAAAGGAGGGGAUCGCAAGACCUUUCGCUUUCGGAGUGGCCGAUAUCGGAUUAGCUAGUUGGUGGGGUAAAGGCCUACCAAAGGCGACGAUCCGUAGCUGGUCUGAGAGGACGACCCAGCCACCACUGGGACUGAGACCACGGCCCCAGAACUCCUACGGGAGGCAGCAGCGGGGAAUUUUGGACGAAUGGGCGCAAGCCUGGUCUCAGCCUGCCGCGUGAGUUAGAAGGCCUUCGGGUGUAAAGCUCUUUCGGACAAGAGAGAUUCCUAUUCGUUGUACCGAUGGGGAUGACGGUACUGUAAGAAGGGCGCAGGCUGACUACGUGCCGCCGCCGCGGU
This 521-nucleotide ribosomal RNA is filed under the name uncultured bacterium. RNAcentral describes it as "bacterial SSU rRNA". It matches the Rfam family "Bacterial small subunit ribosomal RNA", at positions 8 to 521 of the family's 1533-position model. The record is from RNAcentral.